UCCUACGUAGACUAAACAAAAGGGAAACGAUAGCGUUUAAUCAAUGGCUCGACUUCUUCUUCGUCGUCGUGAUACCAUGGAUCGACUGUUCUGCUGAAUGCCUGAUUUCUUCUUCUUCGGCGCUGUUUAUACCAUGGUCCGACUGUGUUGCUGAUCCUAGCCAUGGCUCUCUUUACCAAUCUGAGCAGAUCCGACGAUGAUGUUAGCCCCAUCGAUGGUCGAUCGGUUGUGGUGGAUUUCUUCUUCUUCGAUCCACCAGAAUAUGUUCAUCAGAUCCGACGAUGAUGGGUUUCUUCUUUUUCUACUUUUCGUUCCCAUGUAACAUGAUUUUAUUCUUUAUGUCUCUUAAUUUUGGGGAGUAAGGAAGAUUUCUAGGCUGUGAAUUUGAGAUUGUAUUGAUGUGUUUGAAUCUAGAAAUUGGAGGAGAUCCGAGGGAGAAAAAUAUGAGUGCUCCGGUGAAAGAGGAGAGCUAUUUUUGUGGAACUGAGUGUAUUUUAACCGAGUUUUAUCGGCUAAGAAUCUUAGCCUAAGAUGUCAUCAAGUUAGACCAGUGGCCGAGUUUCAAGUCCUACAUCUUACGAGACGCAACACAGAAUGUGUUCCUUAUGUAAGUUUUCUUCUCACAGUGGUUCCAUCUCUAGGUUUAUUAUGAUUUUCAAAUUAGUAUUAGUUAGCGAAGUUAUUUUCGUGUUGUGGACAAGUCAGGCUAGGCCUUUAGCUGUUCAACAUUUUUUGAAGUUUCUGAUCGUUAGAUAGUUUUAGCCAAAGUUUUGUAUUAGACGUUAUGUUGACGCAGUUAGUAUCUUAUAAUGUAUAUUGUGCUCCUAAAUAUUUUUGUAAUCAUGAACUGGCCAGGAGAAGUUGUUUUCUCCAGUAAUUAAGUAUUGCAUAUGAACUUGCAAACCGAUUGUGUUACAUACGGCUGCGAGUCUCUCAGACCCUACAUUCUCUUUCGGAUCAGAACCUCUCUUUGAACAUGUAAGGAGUCUCAAUUGAUCUGAAGGUGUUAAGGUAGAGAGAUAUAGAAGCGCUUGCUAAACCAUGAGCUGAGCUUAAGAGUUCAUCUUAGAUAUGUUUCUUGCUAACUUUUGCACUGAUAUUUAAGUAUCUUCCUAAUCUCUUUGUUGCACUAAACCUGCUCUUGAGGCGACCAAUCUCCGUAAAUUCCAACUAAAGUCGCAGUAGAAGCACAGGUGGUUAUGAGAGGCUCAUUAAAAUCCAAGAUUUGUGUGUGGUUAUAAAUUUCUACAUGAGAAACAUUCGCAAGUUCCAUAAACACACUGAACAUUUUGAAAAUUGUUUUAUUGAUUUUUCAUUCUCUUUAACAUUAUUAUCUUGAGGUUUGAGUUUUUUAUCAUUGGAAUAUUCUUUGUCUUUUGCUGCUGUUUGCACAGUCUAUUCUCACAAACUUAUUGUCCUCAAGGUCAGAAACCGUUGUCUUUUCUGAAGUACUAUUGACAGCAUGAGGCCAUCGUGUUGAGACCUGGAAGGCUGGCUAUUGUGGUGACAGUGAAGUUGAUCAGAAAUGGUUUCACGGUGAAACUUUCACCUCAGUGUUUCUGGGUUUGUAUAAUGCAUGUAAAGUGAAGAUUGUGGCUUGUGUCGGAUCUCUGCAAAGUAUGCCGAAGAGGAAGAUUUGUUGGUGAGAUAAAAGAUGAGGAAAAAACACAGUAGUCUAGAAUUGGGUCCCGAUCAGAAUUAACCAACAAUGCUGAUGAACGGUAAUAGCAAAUUUAGAAGCAUAUAAAAGCAAAUGUGAUCUUGCAACUGAUGUCCACUUAAAUUAUAUCUUCUACUUGGUUGA
Non-coding RNA from Camelina sativa (false flax), 1804 nucleotides. NCBI's taxonomy places the organism in Eukaryota, Viridiplantae, Streptophyta, Magnoliopsida, Brassicales, Brassicaceae. The record is from RefSeq and is a predicted model, not a curated record.